UAAGAGGUUGCAAAAACUAAGAGUCAUUGAACAGAGCGUUGCGGCGAUGAGGGUCAAUAAAAGGAGUUUUUGCCGAAAUGCAGUUUGUCGCAAAACAAGCUGUGUUGGGCCGAUUUUAAAUAAGAAUCGGACUGUCAUUUUAUUCAGAAAUGAUGUGCUUAC
Molecule: non-coding RNA, 162 nt
Filed under: zebrafish metagenome
Description: Lysine riboswitch
Rfam family: Lysine riboswitch aptamer
About the family: Riboswitches are metabolite binding domains within certain messenger RNAs that serve as precision sensors for their corresponding targets. Allosteric rearrangement of mRNA structure is mediated by ligand binding, and this results in modulation of gene expression. This family includes riboswitches that sense lysine in a number of genes involved in lysine metabolism, including lysC.
Source: RNAcentral